This 502-nucleotide long non-coding RNA is filed under the name Elaeis guineensis (African oil palm). Its description in RNAcentral is "long non-coding RNA (EGUI_LNC017205)". The record is from RNAcentral. Lineage: Eukaryota; Viridiplantae; Streptophyta; Magnoliopsida; Arecales; Arecaceae.
UAAGGGGAUUUAUCGUUUGCUGAUCGAUUAAUUGUAUAAAGAAUACAAGGGAGAGGAUGAGUGAAAGAAUAAAUGAAUUUUGGUUUGUAGUUGUUGCGGUACAAGCUAAAUAGGGAUAAAAGAAUUACAAGGGAGAUGGAAUUUAACAUCUCCACUGCUCCAAUCUCGAUCAAUUCUAUUGCUCGGACCUCGCAUGGAAGCAAAGGAAGAAGUCAACUCCUUAACUUACAGGUGAGACUCAAGACAAUUUAUUGAUAGUAGAAUGAUAUCCAAUGACAAUUUUGCAAGUUACUCAAACUCCAUAUAUAGGAAGGUCGACCUUCCACUCCACAUGUCUCUUGACCUUCAUGAGUGAGCAAGAUGACCCUCCAAUAUGUGGGACAUGCAGAAAUUGGUCGAACUUUUGCUCUAGGCCACUCGAUAUCUAUGUCAAAGUAAACUGAACUUCGUUCUUCAAGCAGAACCAGAGCUCUGUAUUAAUUGGAAGAUCAUUUUGCUGUCA